GAGCAAAUCGAAUAGGUAGGGCAGAGGGGGGGUUGGAAAUAGGGGUUAGGAGGGGGGAAGAGAGUGCAAAAAUAGAAAUUCCCUUUGUUUGAAGGAGAUCAGGCAGCAGGAGCUCUGUGCUGAGACAGGUUGGAGGGAGACUGGGGCCUCAUCUCCAGUAUAUUAUGAGAAAAUUUAAAAUAUACAGUGCUUUUUUUUCUUAAAAAAAAUAAGUUUAGGGGUACUCUCAUUCCGUCUGAGACUCAGGAAGCACCGUGACUGGAAAUGAGGCCCCCAUCGGGGGUCGCAAUGAAACUGACGAUUCACCUUGCUAGAGAAGAAAUUAAUUUUUUGAAAAUUUUUAGCUUCUUCUCUCAUUAGAUUCACAAAAUGUUUAGGGGUACCCCUGUGUCCCCCCAGAAAAAAGCACUGAAUAUAAGAUAAGAUAUAUGAUAUAUGAUAUAAUAUAAGUGGAAAAUAUAUAUACAGUCAUUGUUGUUAUUUAGUCGUUUAGUCAUGUCCGACUCUUCGUGACCCCACGGACCAGAGCACGCCAGGCACUCCUGUCUUCCACUGCCUCCCGCAGUUUGGUCAAAUUCAUGUCUGUAGCUUCGAGAACACUGUCCCACCAUCUCGUCCUCUGUCGUCCCCUUCUCCUUGUGCCCUCCAUCUUUCCCAACAUCAGGGUCUUUUCCAGGGAGUCUUCUCUUCUCAUGAGGUGGCCAAAGUAUUGGAGCCUCAGCUUCAGGAUCUGUCCUUCCAGUGAGAACUCAGGCCUGAUCUCCUUCAGAAUUGAGAGGUUUGCUCUUCUUGCAGUCCAUGGGACUCUCAAGAGUCUCCUCCAGCACCAGAAUUCAAAAGCAUCAAUUCUUCGGUGAUCAGCCUUCUUUAUGGUCCAGCUCUCACUUCCAUUAGAUUCACAAAAUGUUUAGGGGUGUGCGUACCCCUGUGUCCCCCAGAAAAAAGCACUGAAAUUAAUAUAAUAUAUAUUCUCCAAAUAUUUCUAUUAGUUUUCAGUAUGGCAAAAUACAGAUUCGACCAACAUAACUUCUUAGAAACAAUGGAUAAGUAUGCACGUUUUGCAAUAAAUAUAACCUGCACUACAUAUUUAAAGCAGCAUCAUACUGGAGAUAAUAGUUUUCCCCUCACCCUAUAAAGGGGGAUUUAUUGUUUAAACCACUCUGUAAAUUGUAGCUGUAGGAGGGGAACAGAGGUCUGCUAAGAGCUCCCUUAACAAACCACAGCUCCCAUACUUUUGGGGGAAGAAGCUACGAUAUGGAAUCAUAGUAUUGUGGAGUUGGAAGGGAACCCUGAGGGUCAUCUAUUCCAACCCCCUGCAAUGCAGGACAGUUUAAACCAGUAUCAUGUAACCAAGAUGAUGGACUAUGCCGAAAUGGCAAAGAUGAUCACCAGGAUCAGGCACCAAGACGACAAGAAAUUCAGUCAAGAGUGGAAAAAGUUUAUAGAAUAUCUUAAAGACCACUGUGUAUACUUAAAAAUGUUAGUGGGAUUGUUGCAACACUGAUAACUGAGUUAAGGUAAAAAACGAGAUAAAAUGGAUUAGAAAAAUAGGGGGAAAUUGGAAACCGGGGGGGGGGGGGAGGGAGUCCGAUGUGAAAGUAUAAUAAUACUGUUUUAAAAAUUGAAAUAAAGUAUUUCUUUU
Non-coding RNA from Podarcis lilfordi (Lilford's wall lizard), 1642 nucleotides. The record is from the annotation of a GenBank genome assembly. Lineage: Eukaryota; Metazoa; Chordata; Lepidosauria; Squamata; Lacertidae.